RNAcentral lists this long non-coding RNA (210 nucleotides) under Mytilus galloprovincialis (Mediterranean mussel). The record is from RNAcentral. Lineage: Eukaryota; Metazoa; Mollusca; Bivalvia; Mytilida; Mytilidae.
GGGGAAUGUGGCGGGAAUUUCAAACCAAUUAUUUUUCAAAAUAGACCGAGGUUACUUAAUCACUUUCCCGUUUCAGAUUUAGGGAAAUUAAUUUACCCGGACAUUGCUUGUCCCUUUGUAAUACUUUUUAAAUAACUUAUUAGCCAUAAUUUACUGUAUUUUCAUGAAAUUAUUUGGAAAUUCUUCUCGUGUGUAAAUGGAUGCUAUUUA